This 1195-nucleotide ribosomal RNA is filed under the name uncultured dinoflagellate. RNAcentral's name for it is "SSU rRNA". It matches the Rfam family "Eukaryotic small subunit ribosomal RNA", at positions 577 to 1805 of the family's 1831-position model. The record is from RNAcentral. Lineage: Eukaryota; Dinophyceae.
CGGUAAUUCCAGCUCCAAUAGCGUAUAUUAAAAUUGUUGCGGUUAAAACGCUCGUAGUUGGAUAUCUGCCAAGGGGUUCCGGUCCUCCCCAGUGGAGAAUACACGGAACUCUUCUUGGCAUUUGUUCAGGGAAGGUGUUUGCACUUUAUUGUGUGUCACAUGAUCUGAAUUUUUACUUUGAGGAAAUAAGAGUGUUUCAAGCAGGCUUUUGCCGUGAAUAUGAUAGCAUGGAAUAAUAGCACAGGACCCCUUUCCAAAGCUGUUGGUUUUUGGAACGAGGUAAUCAAAAUAAGGAUAGUUGGGGGUAUUCGUAUUUAACUGUCAGAGGUGAAAUUCUUGGAUUUUUUAAAGACGAACUAUUGCGAAGGCAUCUGCCCAGGAUGUUUUUGUUGAUCAAGAACGAAAGUUAGGGGAUCGAAGACGAUCAGAUACCGUCCUAGUCUUAACCUUAAACUAUGCCGGCUGGAGAUUGGAGUCGUCAGAUUUUGACGUCUUCAGCAUCCUGAGAGAAAUCUAAGUCUUUGGGUUCCGGGGGGAGUAUGGUCGCAAGGCUGAAACUUAAAGGAAUUGACGGAAGGGCACCACCAGGAGUGGAGCCUGCGGCUUAAUUUGACUCAACACGGGGAAACUUACCAGGUCCAGACAUAGAUAGGAUUGACAGACUGAUAGCUCUUUCUUAAUUCUAUGGGUGGUGGUGCAUGGCCGUUCUUAGUUGGUGGAGUGAUUUGUCUGGUUAAUUCCGUUAACGAACGAGACCUUAACCUGCUAAAUAGUUUCCAGGACUUCGGUUCUCGGCUUACUUCUUAGAGGGACUUCGUGUGUUUAACAUGAGGAAGUUUGAGGCAAUAACAGGUCUGUGAUGCCCUUAGAUGUCCUGGGCUGCACGCGCGCUACACUGAUGUGUCCAGUAAGCACCUAACCUAAUCCGAAGGGACUGGGUAACCUUUGCAACGCACAUCGUGAUGGGGAUAGAUUAUUGCAAUUAUUAGUCUUGAACGAGGAAUUCCUAGUAAGCACAAGUCAUCAGCUUGUGUUGAUUACGUCCCUGCCCUUUGUACACACCGCCCGUCGCUCCUACCGAUUGAAUGAUCCGGUGAAUACUUCGGACUGCGAAAUUUUUAGUUUCUAUUCUUUUCGCGGAAAGUUGAAUAAACCUUAUCAUUUAGAGGAAGGAGAAGUCGUAACAAGGUAGCCG